RNAcentral lists this ribosomal RNA (506 nucleotides) under uncultured bacterium. Its description in RNAcentral is "partial 16S ribosomal RNA". It matches the Rfam family "Bacterial small subunit ribosomal RNA", at positions 28 to 523 of the family's 1533-position model. The record is from RNAcentral.
GAUGAACGCUAGCUACAGGCUUAACACAUGCAAGUCGAGGGGUAACGAGAGGAAAGCUUGCUUUCCUUGUCGACGACCGGCGCACGGGUGAGUAACGCGUAUCCAACCUGCCCCCAACUAGGGAAUAACCUUGCGAAAGUAAGACUAAUACCCUAUAAUUUCCUCAGAUGUCAUCUGACGAGGAAUAAAGAUUUAUCGGUUGUGGAUGGGGCUGCGUCUGAUUAGCUUGUUGGCGGGGUAACGGCCCACCAAGGCAACGAUCAGUAGGGGUUCUGGGAGGAAGGUCCCCCACAUUGGAACUGAGACACGGUACAAACUCCCACGGGAGGCAGCAGUGAGGAAUAUUGGUCAAUGGGCGGAAGCCUGAACCAGCCAAGUAGCGUGCAGAAUGACGGCCCUAUGGGUUGUAAACUGCUUUUAUACAGGAAUAAAGUUAGCCACGUGUGGUUAUUUGUAGGUACUGUAUGAGUAAGGACCGGCUAAUUCCUUGCCAGCCGCCGCCGUAA